This 497-nucleotide ribosomal RNA is filed under the name uncultured bacterium. RNAcentral's name for it is "partial 16S ribosomal RNA". It matches the Rfam family "Bacterial small subunit ribosomal RNA", at positions 28 to 507 of the family's 1533-position model. The record is from RNAcentral.
GAUGAACGCUGGCGGCGUGCCUAAUACAUGCCAGUCGAGCGAACAGACCAGGAGCUUGCUCCUCUGACGUUAGCGGCGGACGGGUGCUUAACUCGUGUUUAACCUACCUAUCAGACUGGGAUAACUUCGCGAAACCGGAUCUUAUGCCGGAUAACAUGUUGCACCUCAUUGUUCAACAGUGAAAGACGGUCUUUCUGUCACUUAUAGAUGGAUCCGCGCCGCAUUAGCUAGUUGGUAAGGUAACGGCUUACCAAGGCUACGAUGCGUAGCCGACCUGAGAGGGUGAACGGACAGACGGGAACUGAGAAACGGUACAGAAUCCUACGGGAGGCAGCAGUAGGGAAUCUUCCGCAAUGGGCGAAAGCCUGACGGAGCAACGCGGCGUGAGUGAUGAAGGACUUCGGAUCGUAAAACUCUGAUAUUAGGGAAGAACAAAUGUGUAAGUAACUAUGCACGUAUUGACGGUACCGGAUCAGAAAGCCACGGCUAACUACGUG